This 337-nucleotide RNase P RNA is filed under the name Clostridia bacterium. Its description in RNAcentral is "RNase P RNA component class A". It matches the Rfam family "Bacterial RNase P class A". From Rfam's summary of the family: Ribonuclease P (RNase P) is a ubiquitous endoribonuclease, found in archaea, bacteria and eukarya as well as chloroplasts and mitochondria. Lineage: Bacteria; Bacillati; Bacillota; Clostridia. The record is from RNAcentral.
UGAGCAGAUCAGGCGGUCGCAGGUACGGCAACGUACAUGAGGAAAGUCCGAGCUUCACAGGGCAGGGUGCCGGCGAAAUACCGGUGGAGGCGACUCUAAGGAAAGUGCAACAGAGAUAGACUGCCGAGCGAUCGGCGAUGAUGGAAAGGCGAGGUAAGAGCUCACCGCGACCUGCGGUAACGCAGGCGGCUAUGUAAACCCCAUCCGAAGCAAGGUAUAUAGGACAUUGUGUGGCUGCCCGCUGCGUCCUGAACACCGCUUGAGCGUAACGGAGACGUUACGCCUAGAUAGAUGACCGUCCAACGACAGAACUCGGCUUACUGAUCUGACUCAAUAA